RNAcentral lists this ribosomal RNA (281 nucleotides) under uncultured Staphylococcus sp. RNAcentral's name for it is "partial 16S ribosomal RNA". It matches the Rfam family "Bacterial small subunit ribosomal RNA", at positions 505 to 784 of the family's 1533-position model. The record is from RNAcentral. Lineage: Bacteria; Bacillati; Bacillota; Bacilli; Caryophanales; Staphylococcaceae.
GUGCCAGCAGCCGCGGUAAUACGUAGGUGGCAAGCGUUAUCCGGAAUUAUUGGGCGUAAAGCGCGCGUAGGCGGUUUUUUAAGUCUGAUGUGAAAGCCCACGGCUCAACCGUGGAGGGUCAUUGGAAACUGGAAAACUUGAGUGCAGAAGAGGAAAGUGGAAUUCCAUGUGUAGCGGUGAAAUGCGCAGAGAUAUGGAGGAACACCAGUGGCGAAGGCGACUUUCNUGGUCUGUAACUGACGCUGAUGUGCGAAAGCGUGGGGAUCAAACAGGAUUAGAUA